GAUGAAGAACGUAGCGAAAUGCGAUAAGUAAUGCGAAUUGCAGAAUUCAGUGAAUCAUCGAAUCUUUGAACGCACAUUGCGCCCUCUGGUAUUCCGGGGGGCAUGCCUGUUCGAGCGUCAUUAUAACCACUCAAGCUCUCGCUUGGUAUUGGGGUUCGCGGUUCCGCGGCCCCUAAAAUCAGUGGCGGUGCCUGUCGGCUCUACGCGUAGUAAUACUCCUCGCGAUUGAGUCCGGUAGGUCUACUUGCCAGCAACCCCCAAUUUUUACAGGUUGACCUCGGAUCAGGUAGGGAUACCCGCUGAACUUAAGCAUAUCAAUAAGCGGAGGA
Molecule: unclassified non-coding RNA, 329 nt
Filed under: soil metagenome
Description: partial contains 5.8S ribosomal RNA, internal transcribed spacer 2, and large subunit ribosomal RNA
Rfam family: 5.8S ribosomal RNA (bases 1-120)
Source: RNAcentral